UUAUUGAUCUUUCAAGCUUGACGGGGUAAGAAUAUCGGUUAAUAUUAAUCUUGUGUUUGUUGAUCAAUAAUGCUUUAUGGAGUUUGAUUAUCACAUGAAAAACGUUUUCAAAUCAGUAUAAAAAAAAUAAACUUCAGUUGACUUCAGGUUAUUAAAGAACAAGCUGAUAGCUAGAUCAAAAUAAAAGAAAAGAGAGUCAAAACUAAGUGAUUUUAAAAAAUAGAUUAGACUUCACUAUAUAGCAAGAUAAAGUUAAAUGAAUACAUCAUUAAAGACAUAAUUUAGUCCCAGUACUUCUGUAACUAUAUUG
This 310-nucleotide long non-coding RNA is filed under the name Mytilus galloprovincialis (Mediterranean mussel). The record is from RNAcentral. Lineage: Eukaryota; Metazoa; Mollusca; Bivalvia; Mytilida; Mytilidae.